This 254-nucleotide ribosomal RNA is filed under the name uncultured bacterium. RNAcentral's name for it is "partial 16S ribosomal RNA". It matches the Rfam family "Bacterial small subunit ribosomal RNA", at positions 524 to 777 of the family's 1533-position model. The record is from RNAcentral.
UACGAAGGGGGCUAGCGUUGUUCGGAAUUACUGGGCGUAAAGCGCACGUAGGCGGAUCUUUAAGUCAGGGGUGAAAUCCCGAGGCUCAACCUCGGAACUGCCUUUGAUACUGGGGAUCUCGAGUCCGGGAGAGGUGAGUGGAACUGCGAGUGUAGAGGUGAAAUUCGUAGAUAUUCGCAAGAACACCAGUGGCGAAGGCGGCUCACUGGCCCGGAACUGACGCUGAGGUGCGAAAGCGUGGGGAGCAAACAGGG